AUGCGUUUCAUCGGCAUCUGUGUUGUGUGGGGAGCGUUUCUGACAGUCACGAUUUACGGAGAAUCUGUCACACAGCCACUGCCCUCGGCGACGAAGACAAAAGGAGAAGCGGUAACUUUAACCUGUAACUAUGAUACCACAUGGACUGGAUAUGGUUUAUACUGGUACCGACAAUAUCCAGGCAUGCAGCCCGAGUUUACUAUGUUGAGAGACACCUACAACAAUGAAGAUAAGGCCCAAUACGCUGACAUUCGUUUCUCCAUUGAGCUCAAUGUCGCGCCUAAGUUCACCAGCUUGAGUAUCUCAGGGCUGGAUCUCAGCGACUCUGCAGUCUAUUACUGCGCACUGUGGCGCACAGUGAUGGAAACAAGUUAA
Molecule: non-coding RNA, 375 nt
Organism: Amblyraja radiata (thorny skate)
Lineage: Eukaryota; Metazoa; Chordata; Chondrichthyes; Rajiformes; Rajidae
Source: the annotation of a RefSeq genome assembly